CCAGACGCCUAUCCAAAGGCAACGGUACCAUCUUCUGUGUGCUUUCUUAGUCUUCGUGCGUAUUCCGAAGUUGUUGUAGUGUUCAUCCCUACCGGAGACACUCUUCACCAACAGUUCCCCGUAAUAUCCUCCACGGAAUGAUGUUCAUGGAUCUUCACAUCGUUGAAGCCUUUUCUCCAUCAGAGUGACCAAAGCGUGCGCAGACAAUGCGCCAGCUUUGCUUGUGUUUCUUUUCUCUGCAUAUGAAAAUUUCCAAUGUCAUCUUACCUGGAGGACUAAAUUAAUAUAAGCGCAUUAGAUGAAGAUCCUUAUUAACCAAAAAAAUAACUGAGUUCUUUGUAAUUAACUGGCACUAGGACUUAAAGCUGACCCACUGAACAUGAGAAAAAAAAAGACUUCUAGAUCAUUUUGUUACAGGACCCGCAGGAACUUAUUGUUUCUGUUUAUCUAAUGAAUUUCAGUUCCAUCAGGAUUUUAAAUCAUGUCUACUUCUCUUAAGUAUUUCAGGCGUUUCAUGAAUCAAUAUUUUCUGCUAAUAGCCUGACUUCAGCUGUGGUUCCGUAUGAUUGCUGUGUUUGAUAAGAACAUACCUUGUACAUGUAGUCUGUCGGAUCCGUGUUUCCAUCCUGAGCCAUUGUGGAGUUCCUUUAGAGUGCUUAUGAUAAGCAGAAGAAUGGGAACCUGACUUGGUAGCUUAUUGAUCUGACCUGGUAGUUGACAUCGAAUUGCAGCAGCCUUUAGCCGGGAGAUGAAUGAUGCGCUAAUUACGAACAUAUUUCUUGGUAGCUUAUUGAUCUGACCUGGUAGUUUACAAUAAAUAAAAAAAGGGAAAAGGCAAGGAGAAAAGGAAAAAGAAAGGUGAAUAGUGUGAGUAGAAACAGGGUUCUAGUACAUCUGAAGUAAGGGAAGAUUUAUAUGAAGUAACUGAAAGAACAGAUAAGAGAUGAAGGAAAAUAAAGCAAAAAGAAAAUAAUAUUGGAAAAAUAGUGUCAGCCUGGUUGCCAUUCUUUAUUUUUGUAAUAGUUAUAAAGACUUGUAGUCAUGUACUUUAAUUUUAAAUUUAAUUACAUCUAGACAGAUAAUACAUUGACUUCCAGAAGAUGAGGCUUACCAGGCUUUUUUUUUAGAAAUGCAGGUUCACUUCAAGUAGUAGGCUUCAGAUAUAGUGAUAAUUGGAUUUCUGCAAAGGCAUUAGGAGAAUAAUAUUAGAGGUAUUUUUAGAACCAUCUAUGUUGUAUUAUGAUAAAAACAAAUAGAUUGGACAAAAUGAGAGCUAUUAAAAUUUACCAGAUUCUCCGUUGGGUCAGAAAGCAACACAACUCAACAUCGAUGCUGUUUGCGAUAAAGAUGAAAUUGUUCCAA
Long non-coding RNA from Panicum virgatum (switchgrass), 1362 nucleotides. RefSeq lists it as uncharacterized. The record is from RefSeq and is a predicted model, not a curated record. The transcript has 2 exons. Lineage: Eukaryota; Viridiplantae; Streptophyta; Magnoliopsida; Poales; Poaceae.